AUUGAACGCUGGCGGCAUGCCUUACACAUGCAAGUCGAACGGCAGCACGGGUGCUUGCACCUGGUGGCGAGUGGCGAACGGGUGAGUAAUACAUCGGAACAUGUCCUGUAGUGGGGGAUAGCCCGGCGAAAGCCGGAUUAAUACCGCGUACGAUCCACGGAUGAAAGCGGGGGACCUUCGGGCCUCGCGCUAUAAGGUUGGCCGAUGGCUGAUUAGCUAGUUGGUGGGGUAGAGGCCUACCAAGGCGACGAUCAGUAGCUGGUCUGAGAGGACGACCAGCCACACUGGGACUGAGACACGGCCCAGACUCCUACGGGAGGCAGCAGUGGGGAAUUUUGGACAAUGGGCGAAAGCCUGAUCCAGCAAUGCCGCGUGUGUGAAGAAGGCCUUCGGGUUGUAAAGCACUUUUGUCCGGAAAGAAAUCCUUGACUCUAAUACAGUCGGGGGAUGACGGUACCGGAAGAAUAAGCACCGGCUAACUACGUG
RNAcentral lists this ribosomal RNA (486 nucleotides) under uncultured bacterium. RNAcentral describes it as "partial 16S ribosomal RNA". It matches the Rfam family "Bacterial small subunit ribosomal RNA", at positions 30 to 507 of the family's 1533-position model. The record is from RNAcentral.